GCGGGUGUAGUUCAGCGGUAGAACGUCAGCUUCCCAAGCUGAAUGUCGUCGGUUCGAUCCCGAUCACCCGCU
RNAcentral lists this transfer RNA (72 nucleotides) under Phycisphaerales bacterium. RNAcentral describes it as "tRNA-Gly". It matches the Rfam family "tRNA". From Rfam's summary of the family: Transfer RNA (tRNA) molecules are approximately 80 nucleotides in length. Their secondary structure includes four short double-helical elements and three loops (D, anti-codon, and T loops). The record is from RNAcentral. Lineage: Bacteria; Pseudomonadati; Planctomycetota; Phycisphaerae; Phycisphaerales. RNAcentral also lists the same sequence under 3 other names.